Molecule: ribosomal RNA, 229 nt
Filed under: uncultured bacterium
Lineage: Bacteria
Description: partial 16S ribosomal RNA
Rfam family: Bacterial small subunit ribosomal RNA
Source: RNAcentral
UCCGUAGGCGGGCAAUUAAGUCAGAGGUGAAAUCCCACAGCUCAACUGUGGAACUGCCUUUGAUACUGGUUGUCUUGAGUUACAGUGAAGUAGAUAGAAUAUGUAGUGUAGCGGUGAAAUGCAUAGAUAUUACAUAGAAUACCGAUUGCGAAGGCAGUCUACUAACUGUAUACUGACGCUAAUGGACGAAAGCGUGGGGAGUGAACAGGAUUAGAUACCCUGGUAGUCC